GAUGAACGCUAGCGGCAGGCUUAACACCUGCAAGUCGAGGGGUAUAGUAGCAAUACUAGAGACCGGCGCACGGGUGCGUAACGCGUAUGCAACCUACCUUUUACAGAGGGAUAGCCCAGAGAAAUUUGGAUUAAUACCUCAUAGUGUUAUUAGAUGGCAUCAUUUGAUAACUAAAGUUCCAACGGUAAAGAUGGGCAUGCGUCCUAUUAGCUAGAUGGUAAGGUAACGGCUUACCAUGGCUACGAUAGGUAGGGGUCCUGAGAGGGAGAUCCCCCACACUGGUACUGAGACACGGACCAGACUCCUACGGGAGCAGCAGUGAGGAAUAUUGGGACAAUGGGCGC
RNAcentral lists this ribosomal RNA (344 nucleotides) under uncultured bacterium. Its description in RNAcentral is "bacterial SSU rRNA". It matches the Rfam family "Bacterial small subunit ribosomal RNA", at positions 28 to 378 of the family's 1533-position model. The record is from RNAcentral.